RNAcentral lists this ribosomal RNA (414 nucleotides) under uncultured microorganism. Its description in RNAcentral is "bacterial SSU rRNA". It matches the Rfam family "Archaeal small subunit ribosomal RNA", at positions 459 to 872 of the family's 1478-position model. The record is from RNAcentral.
CAGCCGCCGCGGUAAUACCGGCGGCCCGAGUGGCGGUCACUAUUAUUGGGCUUAAAGCGUCCGUAGCCGGGUUGGGAAGUCCUCCGGGAAAUCUGGCCGCUUAACGGUCAGAAUGCCGGAGGAUACUCCCAGCCUAGGGAGCGGGAGAGGCCGAGGGGAUUCCCGGAGUAGGGGUGGAAUCCUAUAAUCCCGGGAGGACCACCAGUGGCGAAGGCGCUCGGCUGGAACGCGUCCGACGGUGAGGGACGAAGGCCAGGGGAGCAAACCGGAUUAGAUACCCGGGUAGUCCUGGCUGUAAACGAUGCGGACUUUGUGUCGGACAAGCUAUGAGCUUGUCCGGUGCCGGAGGGAAACCGUUAAGUCCGCCGCCUGGGGAGUACGGCCGCAAGGCUGAAACUUAAAGGAAUUGGCGGG